GUUUCGGAAGCGAGAUGUAAACAGACUCGAAAUUAACAAGUUUUGAAGACGGCUGGCAUAAUGGCUAGCAAACGCAAGCUCGACGAUGAUAUAGAAACGUUCUCCACCCCAAGUAAAGCUGCAAAAUUGUCGGAAGAAGUAAAAAGAUCUGGUAGGGUAAGAAAGAAACCUGCUAGAUUCAAAGACACGGAAGAGGAUUCAGAUGAAGAGGGAGAAAUAGGAAAGACGCCAAAAAGUGCCGGAAAUGUCAGCCCAGUUCCUGUUAAAUCGGUUUUACAUGCUAAAGGAGUGGCCUCAGUGCCAUUCGUUCUGAAACCAGACAUAGUGUCCAGUCCAGCAAAAGUGCCAAAACCUAAAACAGUCAUCUCAAAAUCACCAGGUGUUAUUAUGGUACAGAAUCAAGGCCUGUCAGGAGCAGGUGUAGAGACUAACCCGUUAGUUGUGUCACCACAUCUGGUGUCUGUGCCCCCAGUUGCACCUGCUUCUCUGCCAGUUGUGAUCCAAGCACCAGUUAUCUCCCCUGUUCAUGAACAAUCACCUGUCACUGUCAAAGGUCAAACAGCACAGAGCAUGGAUUCAGACAAUAAGUCCGGACGGGUGAGGAAAAAGUCCACCAAAGUUCUAGAAAUGGAAGCAUUUGAAGAGGCAGAGAGAAUAAAAACAACCACUAAAAAGGUUCCGGAAACAAAAAGCAAUCAAAAGUCACCUGCUGCUCGGAAAAGUGCUCAAGUAGGUGGUGUUGGGAAGACAGUGGACACAGGCCUAGCAGCUGUCACACUGACUGGUCUGACUCAAGGAGUAGCUGCAGAGGUUGGCAAACUGACCGCUGUCAAGAUGGAGCCUGCAGAACAGAUGUUGGACACCAGUAUACCACCACAAGCUUUGUCACAACCUGCUAUUCCGGGAAAAAUGGAUCCAGCGUUAGCUAAUCUCCCACCAUUUCCUCCUUCAAAACUUGGAACUUCAUCAAAACCGGCCAUUUCAGGAAAAAUUGAUCCUGUGUUAGCAAACCUUCCACCCUUUCCACCAUCAAAGCUAGGAAACUCUUCUAAAAAAGGGAAAAAGAAAAAAGACGAUGUGGGCACAUUACCUACUCCGUCUUUGAUUGCUCCAGUGUCCCCAAUUGUUUCUGGUUCCAAAAAGGGAAAAACUACCCCGAAAGCUAAGAAACUGAAACAACAGGAAAUGAUGGAUGUUGAUGAGGCCAUAAUUGAAGAUAAAGAGAGUGGUAUCUUGCAGUCUGGGUCAGAUAGCUCUAUAACUGUAAAGACUGAGCCAAUAUCUCCAGGAAAAAAUGUGAAAAAAACAGUGAAAGCAUCACCCCCUUCGAUGGAUCCCUCACUCAUUGAAACAGGGAUACGAAUCCCACCUGCCAUAGCUGGACAAAGUGGAAGUGUAAUAAAAAUGUUAUUGAACACUCCCACUCAGUUUUCUAGUCCUACAGUGUCCACACAGUCUAUACAUACAGGCGAGAAAGGCCAGAAGGCAAGCCCUGAUACCAUGGAUACCAGCAUUGUCAAGUCUGAAGCUAUGUUUCUUGGUGAUGAGUCUACCAUUAUGUUGUCCACAGAUAUUAUGGAACAAACAGAGACAGUUGGAGACGAGGAUGUGUUUGAUAACAAAAAAACAAAAAAAGUAAUUAAAAAGACAAUCCUUAUGGACCCAAUGGAUGAUGAUGAGGACGAUGAUGACCUUGAUGAUUUAGAUGAUGAUGAUGAUGAUUUUGAUAAUGUUGAUGAAUCUGGUGAAUGGGAAUUUGAAAACCAGGAUGGCAAACUGGUAAUAGCAGAUUUUCCAAAGAAAGGAAAUGAGGAGAUGGAAGAAGAUAAACCUGUGGAUUCAAGCAGAGGAAAGAAAUCACCAAAACGACCUACUCCUAAAAAGCGACCUCCUAGCAAGGGCAAGGCUGAUGGGCCAGAUGCAGAUGGUGAGCAAGGCGAUGGAAAGAAAAGUGGAAAAGCAGCGAAAGAAAAGAAGAAAAAGAGGCUGACAGCAUAUACAAUGUGGUGUAACACUGUCCGCAACAAGGUCCUCAGCGAAAACCAGGGAAUGGUGCGCAGACGAUAUUCAACACUGGAGAAAGUUGAAGUGGUUCAGUGGCACAGAGAACAUGGGGGCAACUUUUCGGCAACAGAGAGACAUUGUGGCAUUGCUCGGAAACAGGUGCGCGAGUGGAACAGGGAUUACGACAAUCUCCUUCUCCUGUCUAAUGGUCCUGACAAGAGUAAGAAGUGUAUUGUGACCAAGGGUAAAGCGGCUUCCUCAGAGCUGGACUAUCUUGUGUUUGAAUGGUUUAUGGACGAGCGUAUGUCAGGAAGGUCUGUGACCAACAUGAUACUAAUGUCGAAGGCCCGAGAUGUUGCUCUCGAGCUGAAUGUCCUAGGAUUCCAGGCUUCGCCGGGAUGGCUGAGGAGGUGGAAGAAAAGACACAAUGUUGCUUUCUGUCCAGAAAAUAAGAGCUGUGAGCUCGAUUAAAACUUGGUAUCUACUCUGACAUGUCCCAGUAAAUGUGACAUGAUGUUUCUGCUGCUAAGUGAAGAUAAACAAGAAUGUGACGUAGCUAACACUAAUUGGCAGCAUUCCAAAUUUUCUGGUGCAAAAGUCAUAUUAUGGGUCAAAUGGAUUCUGUCAUCAUCGAGGUCUGGUAGCUGAUGGUGUUGAAGGUAUUCUAAAGUGUCCACUGGAGAUGUGUUUUACAUAUAUGGAAAUGAAAUAUGACCUGCCACAAGGUGUAGGAGACUGAUCUGUCGAGGAGAUUCAGACAUUAACAUGACUAUGUGUGCCACUUGUAUACACCCCUUUAUAUUGCCAAAAUGUUGCUAGAUAAAUGAUGGCAGUAUAAAAAGGUUUUAAUGUAAAAUGUCAGCCAAAUAUAGCCAUGAUUUUAUUUCAUUUCCAUUCGAAAUUAAAGGAAUUACUUGUGACCUUGUUCUAUGAGUACAACAUAUGGCCAUGGGCUCCUGUUUUUAUAAGUGUACAUGUUGUUUUGAUUUUGUAGACCUGGAUUGAUUUACAGAACUAAUUGUCAUUUGUUGUAAUGAAACACAGCUCUGUAGUGAUUUAUUAGGACUAAGUGAUGAAAGGUUGUAUAGAUUGAUUUCCUUUGCUGUCACGACAGCUUAACAACUUCCCUCCCUUAACUUAGCAAUAAGUUUUACAAUGAUAAAUUCAGCUGAAGUGCCAAAUGUCCUGUAAGGGGACUGAAUGGUUAGACUUUGUUUCUUGUUUGCUUUUGAUUUUGCACAAUGAUUGGAAUGGCUGAUAUUAGUCUAUUUACAAGAAAGAAGCAUUAUUUGUGAAAA
RNA transcript from Ylistrum balloti, 3302 nucleotides. It is a transcript of the gene named HMG domain-containing protein 4-like, with no coding region annotated. Lineage: Eukaryota; Metazoa; Mollusca; Bivalvia; Pectinida; Pectinidae. The record is from RefSeq and is a predicted model, not a curated record. The transcript is spliced from 7 exons.